RNAcentral lists this ribosomal RNA (720 nucleotides) under Listeria monocytogenes. RNAcentral's name for it is "partial 23S ribosomal RNA". It matches the Rfam family "Bacterial large subunit ribosomal RNA", at positions 1102 to 1819 of the family's 2925-position model. Lineage: Bacteria; Bacillati; Bacillota; Bacilli; Caryophanales; Listeriaceae. The record is from RNAcentral.
UGGCUUAGAAGCAGCCACCAUUGAAAGAGUGCGUAAUAGCUCACUGGUCGAGUGACCCCGCGCCGAAAAUGUACCGGGGCUAAACAUAUUACCGAAACUGUGGAUGAACCUCUUUAGAGGUUCGUGGUAGGAGAGCGUUCUAAGGGCGGUGAAGUCAGACCGGAAGGACUGGUGGAGCGCUUAGAAGUGAGAAUGCCGGUAUGAGUAGCGAAAGAAGGGUGAGAAUCCCUUCCACCGAAUAUCUAAGGUUUCCUGAGGAAGGCUCGUCCGCUCAGGGUUAGUCGGGACCUAAGCCGAGGCCGAUAGGCGUAGGCGAUGGACAACAGGUAGAGAUUCCUGUACCAGUGCUAAUUGUUUAACCGAUGGGGUGACACAGAAGGAUAGGGAAUCGCACGAAUGGAAAUGUGCGUCCAAGCAGUGAGUGUGAGAAGUAGGCAAAUCCGCUUCUCGCGAAGCAUGAGCUGUGAUGGGGAAGGAAAUUAAGUACGGAAGUUCCUGAUUUCACGCUGUCAAGAAAAGCCUCUAGGAAGAGUAGUACUGCCCGUACCGCAAACCGACACAGGUAGAUGAGGAGAGAAUCCUAAGGUGAGCGAGAGAACUCUCGUUAAGGAACUCGGCAAAAUGACCCCGUAACUUCGGGAGAAGGGGUGCUCUAUUAGGGUGCAAGCCCGAGAGAGCCGCAGUGAAUAGGCCCAGGCGACUGUUUAGCAAAAACACAGG